RNAcentral lists this ribosomal RNA (114 nucleotides) under Periophthalmus magnuspinnatus. Lineage: Eukaryota; Metazoa; Chordata; Actinopteri; Gobiiformes; Gobiidae. The record is from RNAcentral.
UUGCUCAACCAUACCAUCUUGAGAAUGCUGAAUCUCGUCUGGAUCUUGGAAGCUAAGCAGGGUUAGGUCUGGUUAGUACUUGGAUGGGAGACCUCUGGGAAAACCAAGUGCACU